UUCCAGCGUUACAUUAAAAAGAAAGAACAUAUCCGAAUGCGACGAAAAACAUGUCCACGGACGCGCAAUUUUAAACCAACUGCCAUUCAACCCGACAAAGACUAUGGUCCCAAAGCGUGCGAUCCUGUUGACUUGAGCCGAGACGAAAUAAAAAGAAGAGGGCAAGAAAAGCUUAUGGAACUGCAAGUGACAGCUGAUCAAAUCGCUGAAAUAGAGCAGCAAACUAAAGAUCAGCAUGACAACGAUCUUUACAACGUGAUCAGGAGUGAUAGAUUGACUGCAAGCCAAUUCGGGAUGGUAUGCAAACGAAGAAAUAAAACUCCUUGCCACAAUCACGUGAAACAAAUAUUGUACAAAGGCAAUAUUUUAACAUCGGAUAUGAAAUACGGGCAGCAUAACGAAGCUGUUGCGAGAACUCUUUUUGAAACCACAAUGAAUAAAAAGGUGGAACGUUCGGGUUUAUUUAUCGAUAAACAAUACGGAUUCCUAGGCGCAAGUCCAGAUGGUAUCGUAAUUAACGAGAAUGCUCUUCUUGAAAUAAAAUGCUUUCCUUCUCUGAAGAGGAGCCAGGAAACUAUUGAAGAUGCGGCUAAAACUCGCGGAAA
Cydia splendana is the source of this 605-nucleotide long non-coding RNA. RefSeq lists it as uncharacterized. Lineage: Eukaryota; Metazoa; Arthropoda; Insecta; Lepidoptera; Tortricidae. The transcript has 3 exons. The record is from RefSeq and is a predicted model, not a curated record.